GCUCAUAUAGGUGUGAUUGUGAGCUGUCCACAUACCUUUAACCAUAUAGUGUGUAUGUAUAGCUACAGAGCAAGGGUGGCCAAACAAAAGCUAGAUCAUCAACUGUAGUAGAACUCCCACAAAGCCAGCUGUGGUUCUACGAUAUCUCCACCCUUGCAUCAUAUUGAUUGAUCAGGGUGUUGCAGUAGACAUUGCCUACUUAGAUUUCAGUAAGGCUUUUGAAACUGUCAUACAUUGAAGGCUUAUCAAUAAACUGCAAGCUUUGUUUGGAUUCCAAUAUUGUUAGAUGGGUUUGGCAGUUGCUCAGUGACAGGCAAUAGAGGGUUGUAGUCAAUAGAGUAUAUUCAAAGCAUAGUCUUGUCACCAGAGGGGUACCUCAGGGAUCUGUACUUGGACCCAUUCUCUUUAAUAAUAUUUUUAUUAGUGAUAUUGCAGAAGGUCUUGAUGGUAAGGUAUGUCUUUUGCUGAUGAUACAAAAAUAUGUUACAGGGUUGAUGUUCCAUGAGGGAUAAACCAAAUGGCAAAUUAUUUAGAUAAACUAGAAAAAUGCUCAGUGCUGUGGCAACUGACAUUUAAUGUGGAUAAGCGCAAG
Molecule: non-coding RNA, 592 nt
Organism: Pelobates cultripes (western spadefoot toad)
Lineage: Eukaryota; Metazoa; Chordata; Amphibia; Anura; Pelobatidae
Source: the annotation of a GenBank genome assembly